Molecule: ribosomal RNA, 253 nt
Filed under: uncultured bacterium
Lineage: Bacteria
Description: partial 16S ribosomal RNA
Rfam family: Bacterial small subunit ribosomal RNA
Source: RNAcentral
GACGUAGGGUGCAAGCGUUGUCCGGAUUUAUUGGGCGUAAAGAGCUCGUAGGCGGCUUGUCGCGUCGAAUGUGAAAUCCCGUGGCUCAACUGCGGGACUGCAUUCGAUACGGGCAGGCUAGAGUUCGGUAGGGGAGACUGGAAUUCCUGGUGUAGCGGUGAAAUGCGCAGAUAUCAGGAGGAACACCGGUGGCGAAGGCGGGUCUCUGGGCCGAUACUGACGCUGAGGAGCGAAAGCGUGGGGAGCGAACAGG